RNAcentral lists this unclassified non-coding RNA (18 nucleotides) under Chlamydomonas reinhardtii. RNAcentral's name for it is "small RNA Cre_0536". The record is from RNAcentral. Lineage: Eukaryota; Viridiplantae; Chlorophyta; Chlorophyceae; Chlamydomonadales; Chlamydomonadaceae.
AGGAGGGAGGAGAGGCGG